GGAAGAAAGGAUGUUUAAUAAGCAUCUUAAAUGGCUUACAUAAGAUGGGCCAAGCAUAUAAAUGAACACUUAACUGAAAUAAAUUUAAUCUCUAUGAUACUGUCGGAAACAGAUUUUCUAGUUUAUCUUUAGAAUGUGAAAAAACAAAGAUUACAGUUAUUAUUUUCUGCAUCCAAAACAGAUUGUCAGAGAUGCAUCAACCCGCCAAGACUACCAUAAACCUCAAGCAACUUUGUGCUGUUCCAUUAAUUGUGUUCAAGUACAAAGAAACUACUAGCGAUCCUGACAAGAACGUUGGAAGGUACCAUGAUACAGCUCGCAGCAAGCCCGCACAUUAACUGUCAAGUGAGAAGUCAAUCGAGUUCCAGCCACCACAUUAUGCAGAGGCAAAAAUGACUGAGUACACCCCAAAGCUCCCAAUGUCCUGGGACUGGUGAAUGAGAAGCGGCGCGUGUUGGAACGAGUGCCGGAGAUCGGAGGAGUGCGAACGCGGUUAACGGUCGGAGAUGAACGGGAAGUGGAAGCUCUAGCGACGGAAGUGAGUGAUCUGGUGACGGAACCACGCCAAGCCAUAGCUGCUGAAUUCUGUUGAUUUCUUCCAAACACAGCAAAUUGUUGGGUUUAGAUUAGGGUUUAGGGUUAUG
RNAcentral lists this unclassified non-coding RNA (644 nucleotides) under Hevea brasiliensis (rubber tree). The record is from RNAcentral. Lineage: Eukaryota; Viridiplantae; Streptophyta; Magnoliopsida; Malpighiales; Euphorbiaceae.